Molecule: unclassified non-coding RNA, 253 nt
Filed under: uncultured Alphaproteobacteria bacterium
Lineage: Bacteria; Pseudomonadati; Pseudomonadota; Alphaproteobacteria
Description: contains 16S-23S intergenic spacer region
Rfam family: Bacterial small subunit ribosomal RNA
Source: RNAcentral
UACGAAUGGGGCAAGCGUUGUUCGGAAUCACUGGGCUUAAAGCGUGCGUAGGCGGACUAACAAGUCAGGAGUGAAAUCCCGGGGCUCAACCCCGGAACUGCUUCUGAAACUGUAAGUCUAGAAUCCGGGAGAGGUGAGUGGAAUUCCUAGUGUAGAGGUGAAAUUCGCAGAUAUUAGGAGGAACACCAGUGGCGAAGGCGACUCACUGGACCGGUAUUGACGCUGAGGCACGAAAGCGUGGGGAGCAAACAGG